RNAcentral lists this ribosomal RNA (557 nucleotides) under uncultured Methylobacterium sp. RNAcentral describes it as "bacterial SSU rRNA". It matches the Rfam family "Bacterial small subunit ribosomal RNA", at positions 102 to 694 of the family's 1533-position model. Lineage: Bacteria; Pseudomonadati; Pseudomonadota; Alphaproteobacteria; Hyphomicrobiales; Methylobacteriaceae. The record is from RNAcentral.
ACGGGUGAGUAACGCGUGGGAACGUGCCUUCCGGUUCGGAAUAACCCUGGGAAACUAGGGCUAAUACCGGAUACGCCCUUAUGGGGAAAGGUUUACUGCCGGAAGAUCGGCCCGCGUCUGAUUAGCUAGUUGGUGGGGUAACGGCCUACCAAGGCGACGAUCAGUAGCUGGUCUGAGAGGAUGAUCAGCCACACUGGGACUGAGACACGGCCCAGACUCCUACGGGAGGCAGCAGUGGGGAAUAUUGGACAAUGGGCGCAAGCCUGAUCCAGCCAUGCCGCGUGAGUGAUGAAGGCCUUAGGGUUGUAAAGCUCUUUUAUCCGGGACGAUAAUGACGGUACCGGAGGAAUAAGCCCCGGCUAACUUCGUGCCAGCAGCCGCGGUAAUACGAAGGGGGCUAGCGUUGCUCGGAAUCACUGGGCGUAAAGGGCGCGUAGGCGGCGUCUUAAGUCGGGGGUGAAAGCCUGUGGCUCAACCACAGAAUGGCCUUCGAUACUGGGACGCUUGAGUAUGGUAGAGGUUGGUGGAACUGCGAGUGUAGAGGUGAAAUUCGUAGA